Molecule: small nucleolar RNA, 91 nt
Filed under: Hapsidospora chrysogenum ATCC 11550
Lineage: Eukaryota; Fungi; Ascomycota; Sordariomycetes; Hypocreales; Bionectriaceae
Description: Acremonium chrysogenum ATCC 11550 A. fumigatus snoRNA Afu_455
Rfam family: A. fumigatus snoRNA Afu_455
Source: Rfam by way of RNAcentral
UUGUAUGAUGAAAGAUUCGACACACAGGGAUUCCUCAUUCUUAAUACAUCAUGUGGAGUUUGUCCAAACUUAGUUUCAGCCUUGUCUGACA